AUGAAGACAUUUGCUGGGUUUCCCUGUUGCUUUAAUCAGUGGGCAUCCGACAGGUGCUUUCAUUUUCCUGGCCUUGAAAUCUUUCUGGAUGGGAUGUGGGAGAAAAAAAUUGCAAAUGCCUUUAGUUCACAAAUAAAUCUUUGCUCCCUUUCUUCUCUGUUUCUUUUUGGAUUCUUAGCACACUGCCUUCCUAUUCCCCUUCAACACACACUCACAUGUACAUGUGCACCUCCAAAGUUCUUGUUCUUUUUCUCCUAUCCAGGGUGGGAAGAAGCUCUCAACAUGAGCAAGCUGAUUUGCAGCCACCAUCCCUGCCAUGGGUGUGGGCACGACCUGACUGUCCUCAGUUUCUAUAGCACACAGAUAUUCUAAGAAGAGUGGAAUGGCACAGUUCUUGUGCAAAUGUCCAGAAGGCAUUGCGUGUGUGAAGAUGACACCAUGAGAAGUGGCGAGGAACCACUGUACCUCUGUGCAUGGAGUUUGUGGUAUCCUCAUCCACAGUGGAUCUGCAGAUUCAUUCCUGUUCCUGAGCGGGGCUACUGUCUUACCAUGUGA
This 555-nucleotide long non-coding RNA is filed under the name Oryctolagus cuniculus (rabbit). Its description in RNAcentral is "lncRNA (ENSOCUG00000032833.1)". Lineage: Eukaryota; Metazoa; Chordata; Mammalia; Lagomorpha; Leporidae. The record is from RNAcentral.